AGGUCCACCUCCUGUUCUCACUCAUGAUGAAAGUGGUAAUCAUGAUUAUAAUACUGAACACCAAUAUAAUGAACCUCCUCCAUCUUGGGAUAAUCGUUCACAAUCAUACACAGAUUACAGUAAAGGCUCCAGUGAAUCUUACGAUGAUGAUUAUUACCAGGAGGGCCAAAAUGUAGAUACAGAUAAUAUAUAUCAGGGUGUGUAUGGCCAGUAUCCAGAAUACAAUGCAACUUCUGAAGGGUUUAUAGCAGUAAUUAUCAAAAGCACCAGCAGUAUGAUGAUGAAUAUCCAAAUCAGUAUCAACAAGAAGAGUACAGUGAAGGUUAUGAAGAUUAUCAAGAUCAACAUAACUCUGAAGGUAUAGGGAAUAAACAAGGGUGUUAGAAGCAGACUAGCUGGACGCCUGUCUUUCAACCACAAUCCUCAUCAUCUUCAGGUUAAAGUAAUGCAGUCAUCUCCACAAGAGCCAGUAACAUCUGUUACUCAUAACCAAGUUGGACAAAAAAUCCAGACAGUUCAAAGACGGGACUGGGAAAAUUUCACGGAAAUUUCGUAGAAUCACUCGAAAGAACAUAAAGGGCGAUGUAGUGUCUGUUAAAAAGAUUCCUGUUGAUGAAGAAGGUAACCAGAUUGGCCCACCAAUAACAGAAUUUGAUAUCAGCGACUUAGUCACAGAUGGAAUGGAUAAUCCAACAUCUUUAUUUAAUCAACAGCAACAACGUGUACCUGUAGUCAAGACCUUGCGACAAAUAGUAGAAAGGUGCCAGUUUCUCAGCAACAACAGCAACAGCAGUCACAAUCUCAAAUCAAGCUAAGGGAUGCUCCACAGAUUAGUCAGUCCACACAGCAGCAGCAGCAGCAGCAGCAGCAGCAGCAGCAACAGCAACAACAGCAGCAACAGCAGCAAAAAACAGCAACAAGUUAAAUUUGUAAAGAGGACAGUUGUUUCUUCAGAUGUGUCAUCACAGUCAAAUACAGCAGGUCGGCGCAUAGUGACAGCAGGCACACAGCAGUCAGUGAGUGGUGGAGUUGUGCAUCGCCCAGGUGGUGGCAUUCGUCGGGUAAUCAGUUCAACCUCCUCGUCUAAAUCAGCUGAUGGACAUGACCUCCCACUGUCCAGCUAUGUGAUUUGCCAACCAAUCUCACUUUGUCAGAUAUCAAUCAA
Cherax quadricarinatus is the source of this 1165-nucleotide non-coding RNA. NCBI's taxonomy places the organism in Eukaryota, Metazoa, Arthropoda, Malacostraca, Decapoda, Parastacidae. The record is from RefSeq and is a predicted model, not a curated record.